RNAcentral lists this ribosomal RNA (892 nucleotides) under Calonectria candelabrum. RNAcentral describes it as "LSU rRNA". It matches the Rfam family "Eukaryotic large subunit ribosomal RNA", at positions 37 to 961 of the family's 3401-position model. The record is from RNAcentral. Lineage: Eukaryota; Fungi; Ascomycota; Sordariomycetes; Hypocreales; Nectriaceae.
UGCAUAUCAAUAAGCGGAGGAAAAGAAACCAACAGGGAUUGCCCUAGUAACGGCGAGUGAAGCGGCAACAGCUCAAAUUUGAAAUCUGGCCCUCGGGUCCGAGUUGUAAUUUGUAGAGGAUGCUUUUGGUGAGGUGCCUUCCGAGUUCCCUGGAACGGGACGCCAUAGAGGGUGAGAGCCCCGUCUGGUUGGACACCGAGCCUCUGUAAAGCUCCUUCGACGAGUCGAGUAGUUUGGGAAUGCUGCUCUAAAUGGGAGGUAUAUGUCUUCUAAAGCUAAAUACCGGCCAGAGACCGAUAGCGCACAAGUAGAGUGAUCGAAAGAUGAAAAGCACUUUGAAAAGAGAGUUAAAAAGUACGUGAAAUUGUUGAAAGGGAAGCGCUUAUGACCAGACUUGGGCUUGGUUGAUCAUCCUGGGUUCUCCCUGGUGCACUCUUCCAGUUCAGGCCAGCAUCAGUUCGCUGCGGGGGAUAAAAGUUUUGGGAAUGUGGCUCCUCCGGGAGUGUUAUAGCCCAUUUCAUAAUACCCUGCUCCGGACUGAGGUUCGCGCAUCUGCAAGGAUGCUGGCGUAAUGGUCAUCAGCGACCCGUCUUGAAACACGGACCAAGGAGUCGUCUUCGUAUGCGAGUGUUCGGGUGUUAAACCCCUACGCGUAAUGAAAGUGAACGCAGGUGAGAGCUUCGGCGCAUCAUCGACCGAUCCUGAUGUUCUCGGAUGGAUUUGAGUAAGAGCAUACGGGGCCGGACCCGAAAGAAGGUGAACUAUGCCUGUAUAGGGUGAAGCCAGAGGAAACUCUGGUGGAGGCUCGCAGCGGUUCUGACGUGCAAAUCGAUCGUCAAAUAUGGGCAUGGGGGCGAAAGACUAAUCGAACCUUCUAGUAGCUGGUUUCCGC